Molecule: ribosomal RNA, 460 nt
Filed under: uncultured bacterium
Lineage: Bacteria
Description: partial 16S ribosomal RNA
Rfam family: Bacterial small subunit ribosomal RNA
Source: RNAcentral
CCUACGGGAGGCAGCAGUGAGGAAUAUUGGUCAAUGGACGCGAGUCUGAACCAGCCAAGUAGCGUGAAGGAUGACUGCCCUAUGGGUUGUAAACUUCUUUUAUAAAGGAAUAAACUGAGGCACGUGUGCCUUUUUGCAUGUACCUUAUGAAUAAGGAUCGGCUAACUCCGUGCCAGCAGCCGCGGUAAUACGGAGGAUCCGAGCGUUAUCCGGAUUUAUUGGGUUUAAAGGGAGCGUAGGUGGUUUGUUAAGUCAGUUGUGAAAGUUUGCGGCUCAACCGUAAAAUUGCAGUUGAUACUGGUAGGCUUGAGUACAGUUGAGGUAGGCGGAAUGUGUGGUGUAGCGGUGAAAUGCUUAGAGAUCACGAAGAACUCCGAUUGCGAAGGCAGCUCACUAAACUGCGACUGACAUUGAGGCUCGAAAGUGUGGGUAUCAAACAGGAUUAGAUACCCGAGUAGUC